GCCUCCGUAGCUCAGCCGGUUGACUUUCUUGGGGAGAAAGCCGACAGAGCACGAGUUUCGUAAACUCGGGGUCGAGGGUUCGAUUCCCUCCGGGGGCU
RNAcentral lists this transfer RNA (98 nucleotides) under Candidatus Aenigmatarchaeota archaeon. Its description in RNAcentral is "tRNA-Thr". It matches the Rfam family "tRNA". From Rfam's summary of the family: Transfer RNA (tRNA) molecules are approximately 80 nucleotides in length. Their secondary structure includes four short double-helical elements and three loops (D, anti-codon, and T loops). Lineage: Archaea; Nanobdellati; Candidatus Aenigmatarchaeota. The record is from RNAcentral.